AGCCUUUAGCAAAACAAGUAUUAAAGGUGACGCCUGCCCAGUGAAAUUUUAACGGCCGCGGUAUCCUAACCGUGCAAAGGUAGCGUAAUCACUUGUCUUAUAAAUAAAGACCCGUAUGAAUGGCUAAAUGAAUAUUUAACUGUCUCCUUUAACUAAUCAGUGAAACUGAUCCCUCAGUACAAAAGCUGAAAUAUAAACAUAAGACGAGAAGACCCCGUGGAGCUUUAAACUUUUAACAAAAUAGAACAAAACAGGUAUUUAUGAUAAAAAGUUUUUAGUUGGGGCGACUUUGGAGUAAAACUGAACCUCCAAGAAAAGGCACCGCCUAUUCCAGGCCAACAGGCCAAACUAUAAAGACCCAGCACAUAAACGCUGAUCAACGAACCAAGUUACCCCAGGGAUAACAGCGCCAUCUUCUUCAAGAGUUCAUAUCGACAAGAAGGUUUACGACCUCGAUGUUGGAUCAGGACACCCAAAUGGUGCAGCCGCUAUUAAAGGUUCGUUUGUUCAACGAUUAACAGUCCU
RNAcentral lists this ribosomal RNA (525 nucleotides) under Anolis capito. Its description in RNAcentral is "partial 16S ribosomal RNA". It matches the Rfam family "Bacterial large subunit ribosomal RNA", at positions 1817 to 2597 of the family's 2925-position model. Lineage: Eukaryota; Metazoa; Chordata; Lepidosauria; Squamata; Anolidae. The record is from RNAcentral.